UUAAAAUUAUAAAUUUUAUUAUAACAUAUGCACUUAUCAUUUUAAUUAUACAAUCCAAUGGCAUUUAAUAUAUUCAAAAUGUUGUGCAAACAGCAACACCAUUCCUCUUCAUAAUAACUCUUAUCAUCCCAAACUGAAAUGCUAUCUCCAAUGAAAAAUAACUGAUGUCCUUUUCUCCCUGCCUCCUUUUUCAUGUCUCAUUCUUGGGAGCCACCUUUCUAUUUUUCUCUCUCACUACAAUAACUCUAGAAACCUCAUGUAAGUAAAAUCAUGAAUGUUUGUACUUCUGUUUCUGGCUUAUUUCACUUAUCUAAAUCACUUAACACCGGUUAUUCAGUAGCUGGAUUCUAAUUUUCAUUCUACUCUAGAUUCUAUAUUUUAGAAUAAAUGUCUAGCUUUGUACUUGAUAUAUAUUUUUUUUUUUACUUAAUGUUUAAGGGCAUUUCAUUCUAGGAAAUUAUAAACUCAGAGUUCAUAAGGACAAUUUCGUCUACUACUGGGUCUCCCAUACAGAACUUUAUUGGUCUAUUAAGUGUCUUCAGUUUGUGAAUAUUUUCAUUUCAAUUAUAGUUCAUGAAUUUUAGACCCUUUGCAAAGUUCCAUUUAGUCUUAACGGGAGCAUAAAAUAAAUAGAACUCAGGAAUCAAACUUGAAGGGAAAUUUACUUUCUGGGGAUGUGAUAUGAAAGCUCUCUUUUUUGAUACAAGGUAAUUUCUCUUGAGAUAGAGAAAUCCGCUCUACUUUAAAACGGAACACCCCACGGCUUAUCUUUCAGGUGGUUGGAAAGUAUCCGAGAGCUGUCAAAGUUACUUCAAGUUUUGUCUUGGGGGCAUCGCUAGGUCAUUACGGUUUUGUCUGUAAGUCGAGUAAUUUUGGAGAGGACACUAAUCCUUUGGAGAGUUAGUGGUUUAGCUUAGGCUAGCCCGUGUUUUCCAAUCUUGUCCACACCACACAGUAUAAGGUUUUGGUAGGCUACUAAGGUAAACAUGCGCAGCACACCGCUCUCAAGGGGCUCUCCAUCCCGCUUAUUCUUUCCAGUUGACACGCGACAGCCCUCACACCGAGGGUGAGCUGAAAGUCUCGCAGAUUCUGCCUCUCGGAUCUCGUAAUCAGGUUUCGUCUUUAGCCUUUAAGAGAGCCACAAGGUAAAACGGAACCAGGCACGCAAACCACGCAGACACGCACAAACCAAACCAUCCUACUUGUCCAGUGCGCACUCCGCGGAAUUUACGUCUCUUCCCGGCAGUCUCCGGGAGUCACCGCGAGACUUCAUUAAUUCUCGCGAGAUUUAUCGGCAGCCAUCUUCUUGGGGGUGCUGGGAGCCGGGAAGACCCCCCGAAUCGUUCCCAUUGAGCUGCCCUUCGUCUUCGCUUUCUUUACUUUUGCCUCUUGCGUUGCCAACAAGCACCUAGUCCCGAAGCUGAGAGGAAGCCCGGGUCUAAGCGCGUUUCGCGCUCCCGGUUCGGGAAGACUCGCUGGGGAGUAGGGUAGGGGGAGGGCCCGGGCAAACCGUUGCUGCCUCAGCCCAGGCCGGGGUCCGGGAAGGGGGAGCUCCUAGCACCCCGAGGACUCGCGGCCUGCGGCGAUCCUCCGCGGAGCUGUUCGCCGAUCGGGGCUCGCGGGAACCUGCCACCGGCGCCUCCCACCGCGGCCCGCGCGGGCGGCGCGCGGAGGAGGGGGCGGGGGCAGCGGCGGCCGUAGCGGCUGCGACCUGGGCGGGCGGAGGAGUGUGACGGGCCUCGGGGCCCCUGUGGAUGGUUUCUAAAAUGAUCAUUGAAAACUUCGAGGCACUCAAGUCCUGGCUCAGCAAGACUCUCGAACCCAUGUGAGUAUCCGGGGGAUAUCUCCUUGCAGGGAUAGCUGUGGUGGAUAGGCAGACACUCAGAUCUGUGGUGUUUCCCCAAAGUGCCUGCGGUGGAGGCCAAAACGGUGAUCAGAGGUCCCAGGGCUGUUUUCUCCUCUGCCACUCUCGCGUCCAGGUCCAAGUAUAACGCCGAGAGCCUGAGCUGAGCUUUAUUUAUCAGGGAGCUGAAUUUUGAACCGGUGUGUCUCUCGUUUUCCCGUUAUGUGUAGACCGACCUCAGCCUCCUCGCACACACGUUUUCUGAGGGCCUCAAAAUCCGUUUCUUUUUCUUUUAGUGAAUUCGAGCAUAAUCUCCUGUCCUAAGACUAUUUCACUUUUUUAAAAAUGAAAUGGGUGGCCUCUAUUAGACAUUAGGACAGUUCUAGUUAAAUAUCUCAUGUUUCACCUAAAUACAAUCACUAAAAGAAAGGCCACGUCUCCCAUGUGCUGUCUGGCUCAUCUGCACCACUUCUCUUAACUGAUUGAAGAUGUAACAGGUGCUAGGAUUCCCAGUAAAAUUCCCUUUUCCCGCCUACACGUUCGUUCACUUGGAGAGGUGGGAGAAAAUUCAGUCUCCAUCCAUCUGGAAUAUUAGUUUUAAGUGGAAUGCUGUAAGUGGCCUGGGCUUACGGGUGAGUUUAGAGUUCCGAAAUGUCUUCUGUUGGAAAUUUUAAGGAGUGUUUUAAACACUUACCUGUUAAUACAAAAUAAAUCAUGGACUGAGUGCUUUAUCGGAUUUGGUUGGUUUACAGUCAGCAAUUAAAAUACAAAGGGGAAAUUUAAGACAUUUAUUAAGCUGUUAUGAACUGUGAGAGGCUUUGGGAACAGAGCUUUUUAAAUUUCAAAGCUACAGGAUGUAAUAAACAAGUGAAUAGGUCCAUUUCAGAUAUUGAUAGUAUCAAUAGUGUUAUGACCAUUGUAAUAAUAGAGGAUCAUGUAAAAGAGUGAUUAGAAUUGGGGCUACUUCACAUAGGAUGGUCAGACAGAAGGCCUUUGAAUAGGUCACAUUUUAGCAACAUUUCAAGAGGGGAAGGAACCAUCUGUGUGAAAGUCUGAGCAAGGACCAUUCUUUGCAGAAUGGAGAGCAGAUGCAAAGGCCCAGCCAGUAGCAGACAUGAUCCUGUUGUGUUCCAAGGAAGAGAAAGGCCAUUGUGGCUGUAAGGUAUUUUGUGAUGGGGAAGUGGAAAGACAUGAAGUUGGAGAAGUAGCAGGGCCAAGUCAUAUAGAAUUUUUUAGUCCAUGAUGAGGAAUCAGGAUUUUAUUUAAAGUGUAAUACAAAGAUAUUAGAAGAUAUAAAGCAGGCAAGGACUGAUUUAAUUCUGCCUGCUUUGUUUAAAGGAGAUUAAGGGGGAAAGAAUGAGAUGAAGGAACCUAUUCUGAUGGAGAUGUGGUUGUUUGCAUUAGAUAGUGGAGACAGAAAGAACCAAAUAUAUUUCUUAAGUAGAUCUAAUAGAAUGUGCUGAUAGAUUGGCUAUGGGAAAUGAGGAAAAGGGAAAUCAAGGAUGAUGCCAAAGAAGUUAGUCUAAGCAACUAUAGUAGGCUGAAAGAAAACAGGUUGGGGGAGGAGGGAAAAGUGAUUGGCUUUGAUUAUUAAGUAUGAGGUAUUGUACACCUAAAUGAGAUGUCAAUUAGGAAGUUGGAUAUAUGAUUCUAGAACUCAGGUCAGCACUAGAGAAAUUUGUAGUCAUGCAGGUGAUAUAUAAAGUCAUAGUAUUGUGGGAGAUGUCCUAGGAAGCGUGCUUAGGGAAGAGGGGAGGCCUAGAACUGAGGUAGAAAAACUGGGCUGUAUGUUAACUAAAGAAAGAACAAAUGUGUGACAGAAGAGAAUCAUUAACUUGAUAGAAAACUGCAGAGUGGAUGAAAAAAGAUAGAGGCAGAUAAGUGGCCCUUAGAUCUGAGGUGGAGGUCAUUGGUAAUCCUGGCAAAGUAGUUUCAUUUGAGUGGAAUAGUGCAGAUGGAAGUUGUAUUUCAGGGGGCUGGAAUAUAUAGCCUAGUGAUAGACCAUGUUCUUAGUGUGUUCAAGGCCCUAGGUUUAAUCCCCAGGACCCCAAGAAAACCCCAAAUCAACAAAGAUAAAAAAAUAAAGUAGUUCUAUUGCAGUGGAAUGUAAAGAGCACAGCAUAAGAGUUGAGAGGGAAGAACUCUAGGGCCUAAUGGCUUGUACCUCUGCCACUUAACUAGCAGCUGUAUCAUAUUCAAUAAGUUAAUGCCCGUGUUUCCUCAUCUGUAGAAUGGGGAGAAUAAUAUAUAUAAAGAAAAUCAUAGAACACUGCCUGAUAUGUGCUUAGCACUUGAUAAGAAGUUAAAAGAAAACUUUGGAAAAUGUUUUGGGUUGAUAUAACUUCCAUUUUUUUGUAAACAUUCAGUUUUUAAAUUUGAACGACUGAGUAUUCAGUUUCAAAUCAGCUGUACUGUCAGUUCCCCUUUUCUUCAUUAACCUGAAAGAGAUUAUUUGUAACUACUUGUGUUGCUGUCUCUUUAGUUCCAUUUCUUUUAGAUGAUGACUUAACUUAUCCUAAUUCUUUUUAAGACAAGUGGUUUCUAACUUUAGUUUGUUAUCCAAUGGGGUUUUUUUUUGGCUUCAGUUUAACAUUGUAAUUGAAAAACUACACCUGUUUGAGAGAGGAGCAUAGGAAAAACCAAGGAUAAGAUAUAACUUGAGAUUUAUAUAGAACUUUUAAGCGACUUAUAUUAGUAUUUUAUGGUUUUGGAUUUAUCACAGAUUUUAAAUGAUUAAUUCUGCAAAUUUUAAUUGAGCACUUGACCUAUUACUCAAGUGUUCAUCGGUGUGCCAGAUAUUGGGGAAAUAUUAGGAAACAAGACACAAAAUGACUGUCUUCAUAUCAUUUACCAUUUGGAAGGGAAGACAGCUGUUGAACAAGAAAUUACAAAAUUGUGGGGUUUUCUUAAAGUCAAAAUAUAUAAAUGCUGUGAAAAUACAUGGGGAGGUAAGGAAAGGCCUUCCUAGCAUACUAACAUUUGAUCUCAACUUGGAAGGAUGAAGAGUAGUUUGCUAGGGUAAAAGAAUGGAAACAGAGACCCAUGAAAGCAUGCCAUUCUCAAGGUUUGGGAGAACAGAUUGUACAGAAGUCCUAAAAAGAGAAAAAAGGUGUCUUGGAGGGAUUCAAAGAAAUCGAAAAAAGAGCAAAAGAAGAAUAGUAGUAGAGAGUUCCAGAGAGAGGAGCCAGAUCACAUCGUACUUUGUUGAGUCAUGUUAAGAAUUUUGGAUGUUAUUGAAGGAUAGAGGGAAGCCAAUGAAAGGUUUUAGGGCAGGUGAGUUUUCAGAUUGAUGGAGAUGAGGUUGGGUGAAUGCCUGGUUGCAUUUUUUAGCAUGAAAUAAAAGUUUGUAAGUAUUUUAUUUGGUUAUGAGUUCUGUAGUUGGAUCAGUGUUUUAAGUUUGUUUUUAAAUUAUUGAAAAUGUAGAUAUUAAAAUGUCAUUUGUUGUCUCAAGCAUUUGCUUAGUCAUACUUGUUAAUAAUAAUGUAAACCUAGAUGUUGGUCUGUCCUCUAACGUUCAUGUGAAGUCCUUGGACAAAAAAAUUAAACUCUUUUGUUCUUUUUUGUUUGUUUUUUAAAUAUAAAAAUUUUUCUGCUCUAUUUUAAAGAUUUUUUUUAUAGGCUUACAAUCACUAAAUGUCCACAUUUUAAUCAUAUUAUAGACUUUUUAAAAAAAUACACCUCAAGAUGUAGUAAUCAGACUCUUCAGUUUUUCAGAAAACAGCAGGAUAGAUUUAAUGUUGUGCUCAGAUUCUGGAGUUUAGUUGGGAAGAAUAGAAUACCUCCUCUUUUGCUUUGUGAGAUGCUGUGGAGGUAGUAUUGUAUAGUGGAAAGAGAAGAAGCCUUUUGUCUACAUAGAUCAAUAUUCAGAUUUCACUUUUGCCAUUUAUUAGCUGAGUGCUAGGCAAAUUAACUUGUCCUUUUUGAAUAUACUAAGGAGAAUUUUACUGGUUUCUGUCUGUAAUUGCAAGGAUUUAGUGAGACAUAUAUUAAAGAACCUAGCUUUUCCCUCUUUCUUACAUACUGGUUGAUUAAACACUAAUAGGUUACACUACUAUUGUUAUUGUUUGUAUUGUCUUUCCUAAUACUGCUGCCACUACCAUCUUGACAUUUGCAUGCAUUUUUAAAUGUUUUGUAUUCCAGGUUUUAUUAGACAUUGUUACCUGUGUUUUGCAGAAGAUGACACUGAGGCACUGAAGCACAGUUGAUACUUCUUCACAGUGGUUUGAACUCAAGCUUUUUAACUCUAGAGCCAUGACUAUUCUUAAUUUACUACUACACAAUAGUGGGUUUUUUUUUCAAUUUCUAUAUGUACUUUUUUACUUUUCUAUUUUCCUAGUAACUUUAUUGAAAAAGAAAAAAUUCUAAAGCAUAGUGGUUAUUGAUCCUUAGCAGAGAUUAAUCAUGAAACUUCCUUGGAGUUUUUGUGGUGUUUUCCCCAUUAUCCACAAUUAUUACUAUGAAGUAUACCUUUCUCACCACAUUAAAGUUUAUUUUGUUCCUAACUUAGAGGAAUAAGUGUUCUUUGGAGUUUGCAAAAUGAUCUUUUUCCUUCUGAAAUUUUGAUCAUGUUGACCUCUUUUUAUCUUUCCCUUUCUACUGGCUCUUUUUGGCCAAGUGAGUCAGUUUUCUAUUCCAUAAAGAAGAAAGACUCAACAAGAGUAGUAGCAAAAAUAAAAUUGUAUUUUUCUUCUAGUCACUUUUUUGCUGGCUUCAUUUUCCUUUCACUGUUAAAUUGUGAAAUCCAAUACUUUUUGCUUAUUUGCCCUAUUUCUUAAUCCCUUGUAAUAUAAUUUCUUACCAUGCAUAUUCAGCCAAAACUGCUUACCUCAGUGUUAUCAAUGAAUUUUUGUUUACCAAAUGUAAAGACUAAAGUUUUAGGGGUUAGGGUGGUAGCUCAGUGGUAGAGUGCUUGCCUUACACAUGUGAGGCACUGGGUUUAAUCCUCAGUACCACAUAAAAAUAAACAAAUAAAAAGGCAUGCCUUCUAUCUACAACUACAAAAAAAAGACUGAAGUUUUUAUAUUCUUUGACCUAUGUGUGUAACAUCAGACAAUGUUAAUGAUGAUUUGAGGUACUGAGUAUUGAAUGUAGGGUUAUGUGUCUGAGGUAUACCUGCAGCCCUUUGAUGGUGCCUUUUUAACUUCGUAUUUAACUUCCUAUUUGCUUGGAUCCCUGAUACUUUAGCUCUCUUUCUUUUGAAUUAGUCUUAUGGACUUUAAUUUCUUUUCUUGACUCUGAAUUGUAUUUUUCAAAGUCAUUACAUUGAUUUUUUAUCUUCUCAUGUAAUCAUUUUUACUCUUGAUAUCUUACUCAUUUCUGCUGUGGUUUGAGUGUUUUGUCCCCUCCAAAACUCAUGUUCAAAUUUUAAUGGUUCAUAUAACACAUAAACAUGUGGGACUUUUUAUUUUUUUUGGGGGGGGUGUCAGAAAUUAAACCCAGAGGUGUUUCAUUGAGCCACAUCCCCAGCCUUUUUUUAUAUUUUAUUUAGAGACAUGGUCUCACUGAGUUUCUUAGGGCCUUGCUAAGCUGCUGAGGCUAGCUUUGAACUUGUGAUCCUCCUGCCUCAGCCUCCCGAGCUGCUGGGAUUACAGGUGUGUGCCACCCAAUUAGGACCUUUUAAGAGGUGAUUAGGCCAUAAAGACUGUCUUCAUGGGUAGGAUUAAUGCCUUUAUAACCCCCUUUUGCUUCUUUGCCAUUCUGUGAGGAACAGUGUGUUCCUUUCUUCUAGGCUCUGCCUUGGGAUCAGAAUUGCCAAGCCUUCUAAUGCCCUUAUUUUUGACUUCACAGCAUCCAGAACAGGGAGCUAAAAAGUCUGUGUUCAUUAAACAUUACCCUGUCUGGAAUAUUUUAUUAUUGCAGCCAGAUGGACUAAGAUAAUUGCUAUAGAUGGUUUCUGUUUAAUAAUCUGCCAUUGGUGCUUAAGAUCCAAAGAAUGAUUAAAGACUCCCUUACUGAGCAUAAAUAUACUUAAACAUUUUCUUCAAAUUUCAGAGCUUGUUAAUGGACUCCCCGUGAGAACUUCUACUGUGGGCAUUUAUUUUUCACAUAAAUGUUUACUAAACUACUUCUCAAAACUUUAAGCUCUUAUUUCCAAUUGCCUGCAUCUGUCACCUGAACAUUCAGUUACAUUUCUGAAAAGAAAUAUUCUCUAGGUUCACUUCAUUUCAUUUCAUUUCUGCAGAUUAUCCAGGCUUGAAAUUUUACAUUUUGGCAUCUCUUCCCUCCAUUUCUUGUACCCCUACUUAAUCAUCAGGUCCUAUCUCAUUCUUUUAACAAUUCUUAGUGACAUUGCUUAAUAGGAAGCUCAUAUUCCUUUUGUCUACCAGCACAAUUUGUUUUCUAACAAAAUCUUCCUGUCUUUGGUCUUUCUCCCUUCCAGUUCUUUUGAUGUGGAUACCCAACCUUUUUUAUUUUAUUUAUUUUGGUAGAAGGGUUUAACCCAGGGAUGUUUUAUCAUUGAACUACAUUCCACAGUUCUUUUUUUUUUUUUUUCUGGAGACAGUCUCGCCAGCUUGCUGAGGCCGUCCUAGAACUUGUGAUCCUCCUAUCUCAGCUUCCCAAGGUGCUUGGAUUUUGGGCAUAUAUCACAGCAUCUGGCUCCAACCUUUUUAAUAUCCUUUUGUUUAAUCCAGAUUUUCAGCAUUUCUAGAUAAUAAAUUGCAUUCUUUUUAGCUUGGCUUACAGAAUCUAAUGAUCUGCUUAAAUUAUCUUUCUACUUAUAUUCCUACUAUUUUUUUUCUUCUCAUGUAAUCAUUUUUACUCUUGAUGGAACUCAGCUUCCAUUCUCUGUCACGUUGAAUUUUGCUUCAGAGAAAUACUUAUAUGAGCAGUUUGCAGAUUAAAUAAUCUGUGGACCUAUUUCUCUAUUUUUACUUCAUAGUACCUUCAAGAGGAGAAAAUGUUUAAGCUUAAAGUUAUUCAGGUAACUUAGUUUUUGUGGGGGGAAGACAUUGAAGAAUAUUAAUAUCUACUCAGUAAAGUAUUACAUGGUACAAUGUUCAGGAUUGCUGCUUUCAUAGAGCUGCACAAAAAAGAGUUGCUUUCAGUAAUGUUGAUCUGAUAAAUUUUACAGUUGGUAGAAGAGUUAAUAUUUUGCAAUUAAUUAUUGGCCAAAAUGCUUUUUAUUACCCAUUCAUCCCCUUAACUUUUGAUAAGUUGAAUCUUAUGACCACAUUUUACUGCUACAUUCUUAUUUGACUUUUCACUGUGAGUUCCUGACUAAUUAAAUUUAAAUUUAGCAUUUUUUUUUGUUUCAGCAUUUUUAUAGUGCUUCUCAAAAUCAUUUUAUAUGUAUAAAUCAAGAGACAGUGAUAGUAUUAUUAGUAAAGUGGAAAGUAAGAUAUUCUCAUGUGUGAUGUGAACAUACUGAGAAUGACAUAACUCAAGCUUGAGAAAAAUGACUUCCAGGAAUAUUUUUUUUCUUCAUCAUACUUUCCUUAUCCCCAAGAAAAGGGAAUGAAUAAAAGAAACAAGAUACAGUAAACCCUUCCUACUAGGUUUAUUACUCUCUUACUACCUUAUUUAUGUAAGAAAAUGCCUUUCACUUUACAAACUGUUAAAUGCCUUUUUUUGGGGGGGGGGACCGGGGAUUGAACUCAGGGGCACUUGACCACUGAACCACAUCCCCAGAUGUAUUUUUCUUUCUUUUCUUUUUCUUUCUUUUUUAUUUUUUAGUUGCAGAUAGGUACGAAACCAUUUAUUUAUUUAUUUAUGUUUAUUUUUUUUAGAUGCAUGGACCUUUAUUUUAUUCAUUUAUUUUUAUGUGGUGUUUAGGAUCAAACCUAGUGCCUCACACUUGCUAGGCAAGCGCUCUACCACUGAGCUACAAUGCCUGGCCCCAGCCCUAUUUUGUAUUUUAUUUAGAGACAGGGUCUCACUGAGUUGCUUAGCACUUCACUUUGAACUUGUUAACCUCCAGCCUCAGCCUCCCAAACUGCUGGGAUUACAGGCAUAUGUCACUGCGCCCGGCUAGAAGCUUAUUUUUAAUUUAGGAUUAUAUUUAGUGUCUUUGGUUUGUGUAAGUAGUGGGGUGUUUGAGAUCUGUUACUUACGAUUCUUUCUGAGAAAUUUUACCAAUAUACGGGCAAAUUUUAUCCUUUUCUGUGUCGAGGUCUUACAAAUCUUUUGUUUUUUUUUCCUCCCUGGCACAUAUUCUGCAAGUGGUAUAUUACCAGAUUGAGGAAAUUCUCUUUUAACUGCUGUUUUUGUCAUGUAAGGGUAUUGAAUAUGUUAAAUUAUCUUUUUUUUUUUUUUGCAUCUGUUAAAAUGAGCAUAUUGUGUUUUUUCCCUUUUAUCUGUUAGAGUGGUAUAUUUACAUGGGUUGACUUUUAGAUGUUAAUCUAGCCUUGCAUUUACUGUGAUAAAAAACAUCCUCCUGAUUAUGGUGUAUUAUUUUUAAAAAAAACAAUUGCUGGAUUUGAUUUGCUAAUACUAAAAAAAAAGUGGAGAAUCAUUCUGUCCUAUUUUUCUGAAAAAUUUUACAAUUAUUAUUAUUUUUUUCUUAGUUAUAUGUGUUCUUCACCAGUGAAGCCAUCUAGGACUGAAGUUUUUUGGUUUUGGGAAGGUUGGUUGAUUACACAAAAUCAGUCUUUAAUAGGUAUUCUGUGUCUUUAUGUGCCAUUUUCAAGAAUUUUUCUGUUUAGCAGUUAAAACUAUUAACAAAGUUGUUUACAUUGUAGUCAUUCAUUUCAUGACUAUAGGAUUUACUAUGUUUUACUUUUUUUGUUGAUAAUUUUGUUCUUUUAUUUUCUUCAAUUUUUCUAAUAGUUUGUCAAUUUUCUUCAUUCUAAAGAAUGUUGUUAGGUUUUUUUGUUGUUUCCUUUUUCUCUUUCACAUUUUUAUUUUUGUUUCUUUUUUAAUCUAUUUAUUUUAUGUUUAGUUUAUUGUCUUAUUUCCCUUUUCCGGGGGAACCUUGGUCACCAGUUUUUCACUUCUCAGCUGUUUUAUAAUGUUGUCCGUUGCCUCUGUCUUCUGUUGUUUGUGGUGAGAAGCAGACUUGUCAUUUAAACCUUGUUCAUCUGUGUAAUGUAUCUAUUUUUCCCCCUUUGGCUGCUUUUAAGAUUUAGUUUGUUUUAUUUGUCAGCAGUUUGACUGUGGUGGCUCAGGAGAGAGAGAGAGAGAGAGAGAGAGAGUGUUUUCUUUCUGGGCUUGCUAAUUUGGAUCUGUUUUGGUGUCCUUAAUCAGUUUUCAUCAGGUCUUGGUCAUAUGUCUUCAAACUUUUUUCUGCCUCAUUUUUCUUUCCUCUUUUUCUGAGAUUUCAGUCAGUUACUUGUGUGGUAGAUUCUUUGAUAUUGUCCUAUAGAUCUCAAAACUAUGUUCUUAAGUGAUCUCUUGUAGUUCUUCUUUACUACUCCUAGAACUACUGCAGAAGUUUUAGUUGGUAAGUGCUGAUGAGUGGUUGUAGAUGUAGUGAUUGUGACUUAGGGAUGUGGGGAUUCUGGUCUAUCUUAAUAGCCAAUAUGUAUGUGACUUAAAAAUAAUUUAAAGUUUGGUUGAUACCUCCAUGUGUGGCAGAUUUUUCUUGACUUUUUAUCAGGAAUGAAAAAAAAAAAAAACGUGGUUUGGGGUUUUCUUUUCUCUAAUGCAAGAUUUGUUGCUUUCUAGAGUUUAGUUCAUUUGUUAGGUGUAUGUGUGUGUCCUCUCAGCUCUUGAGGCUUUAAAAAAUAUUGUAGUUUCCCAUCUUAAGUGACUUGUUUUUGUAGUUAGGGUGAGGGGAAUGGUAUCUUUUGAUUUUUCUGCAUCCAUCCAGAAGUGGAAAGUCUACUGUAGUUUUAAUGUGCAUUUGUUUUAUGAAUUAUGUUGGGAGACAUUUUUAAUUGCUUCAUCUAUCUGUAUGUUUUUUUUCAUGUCAGUUCCUCCUACUCUAUUUUUUUUCUGUUACAUUGUUGCUUUCCUAAAAUUUUUAUUUGUAGGGAUUUUCAUAUAUUAGAUAAAUUACUAUAUGGAUUGCAACUUCUCUUCCCCAUAUUGACAUAUAUGUUGAUUCUGCUUACAGUAAUUUUUCUUUCUUUCCUUUUGGAGAUGAAGUCGCACUCUGUUGCCCAGGCUGGCCUCAAACUCCUGGGCUGAGGCAACUUUUCUGUUCUUGUCUCUCAAGUAGCUGGGACUAAAAGUAUGUACUACCAUGCCUGGCUUGGAAAUUGUUUUAAUAUAGAGAGUGGAGUUAUUUCAUGGAGUCUGGAUUUGUUUAUAAGCUACACAAAACCUUUCCUAUUCUGAGAUGAGGAUAUUGAUGAUGGUGGUAAUGUAUUGAUAGCUAUCAUUAAUCGUGCUUACCAGGUUGCCCAUGUACCGAUUGAUUUAUCACAGUGAAUGAACUUUAAUAAAUGAUAGGCAUACUACACACAUACUGAGCCAGAGAUUAAAUAGUCUUUCAGAGAGUCCUAGUGGUAUCAUCCAUGUGCUUUAUAGUCUUUAAAUUUUUUUGAUACUGAGGAUUGAACACAGGAGUGCUUAACCACUGAGCCACAUUCCCAACCCUUUUUUAUUUUUUGUUUUGCAAUCUUGAUAAAUUGUUUAGGGCCUAGUUGAGUUGCUGAGGCUGGCUUUGAACUUGUCAUUCUCCUGCCUCAGCCUCCCAAGGUGCUGGGAUUACAGUCAUGCAUCAUCACCCCUGACAGUGCUCUUAUUUUUAGUACCUCAGUCUUCUACCCACCUGAAAUAUAUUUAAAAGAGGCAUGUAGGAAGUAUGGAUCCAGCUCUCUUAUUAUAUUCACAUGUGUACAAAUUUAUCCUUAUACAAUUAACUGCAUAAUAUAUGUGUUUUCCUAAUGAUUUGGGAGACUACCUUAAUUCUAUAAUAAAUUUUUAUGUACAUUUGGGUUUUUUCUAACUUUCUAUAUGUGUUAUUGAUCUAUGUCUAUUAUACCACACUUUUAUUUUGGGGGGAUUUAUAGUUCCCUGUUAAUAAUACUCAUUUUCAGAAUUUUCUGCCUAUUUUUGCUUAACCCUCUCCCCCCACAGGAUUAUAGUAUAUGAGAAGUCAAAUGUAUAAGAAACAUGUUUUGAAUCUUACAGUGAUACACCCAUUGCUUAGAUUCUGCCAUUAACAUUUUCGUGUACAUGUCACUGUGUCCUUUUUGAUUCAUUUAAAAGUAAAUUGUAGACAUCAGUGCUCUUUACCCCAAAGAUGUAUAUCAUUACAGUUCAGUAUUGGUUUAGUUUUCUCUUUAAAAUUUAGAGUUUAUGUACAAUCAAAUAUACAGAUAGAUAUUAAGUGUACCAUUUAAUGAAUUCAACAAAUGCAUCCAUUGUUGUAACCCAGUCUCCCAUCAAGGUAAAGAACAUUGACAUCACCCUGAAAAGUUUUCAUCAUUCUCCUUCUUGUGACCACACCUGUCACUAGAAGAAAGCACUAUUCUGAUUUUUUUUUUUUUUGCCAUUAUAUAUUAGUAUUGCCUGAAAACACUAUUCUGAUUUUUUUGCCACUAUAUAUUAGUAUUGCCUGUUUUAGAACUUCUUACAUAUGGAAUCAUUGAGUAUGUAUUCUUUUGUGUAAGACUUCUUUUAAAAAUAAUGUUUAAAAGGUUUAUACUGUUGCAAAUACUUUGUUUUAUUUUAUUGUUGAGUAGUAUUUCAUUGUUAGAGUAAUGUAUAAUUAUUAUAAUAAUGUCAAUACUAUUUUUAGUUCAGAUUAACAGUUUCUUGUUAAAUCUUUUACUUGAUAAUAAUACAUGCUUACUUUAAUUAAAAUAGUAUAAAAAUAUAAACUAAAAGUGAGUCUUAUGUCCCUUUUCUUAUUCUCACAUAUACUCAUAAACAUGUAAAACUUAACACACACUUAUUACAUAUUUAUGUAAGUAGAUAAUUUUAAAAAAUUUAUUAGCUCAUAUUAUGCCCAUGCUACUGCAACUAAUAUUCCAGGUAACACUGCAUAUCCUGCCAUAGGGGUAUAUUAUUAAGUAGAAUCCUAUUCUUUCCAGUGUCUCCAUAGUGUUACAUUUAGUGAACAUACGCAAUUUGUUUGAAUAGUGUUGUAUUUACAGUAUGACCUGUGACCAGUCUUAGUCCAUUUCUGUUGCUGCAACUCAGUAACACAAAUUGGGUAAUUUAUAAAGAAAAUAAAUUUAUUUCUCACAGUUCCAGAGACUGGAAAGUCUCAGGUUGAGGGACCAUAUCCGGUGAGAGCCUUCUUUCUUCUUCUUUCUGAUGAGUACUGUCUAAAGUCUCAAGGCAGUUGGUAUGGAGCAGCACAUAGCAAGUCCGAAUAGGCUCAUUAAUGCAAUCAUUAGAGCUCUACUCUCAUGACUUCAUCUAAUUCUGAUUACUUCCUGAAGACCUCGCCUGGUUCUACCUCAUGAUGGGGAUACAAUUUUAACGUGAGUUAUGGUGGUGACAUCCAAGUUAUAGCGGAUGCUAGCCUCUUAAAUUAAUUUUCACAGUGUGAAAAGGUAGCAAAUAUAGCAGAAGGGCUUGAAAUGUCUUUUUCUUUUGGACUUUUAGUAUAACAUGUAGUUUUUAUGUUUAAAAUGCCUGAAAUUUAGUGUCAUUGUGUGGACAUACUACAGUUUGUAUAAUUAUUUUGUUCCUGUCAUUUAGGUUGUUUUCCUAUUUUUUGACUCUAUAAAUAUACAUCUUCCUCUGUAUUUUUCCAUGUGUGUAUACACUUUGUUCUCAUUAGUAGGAAUUGAUUGCCAGAAAUCAUCUAAUAUUGUUGGAGGGUUUUUUUAGGAUUAAGAACUGGAUGUUUAGCUGGGUGAGGUGGCUCAGGCCUAUAAUUCUAGCUGUUUGGGAGGCCGAAGACAGGAGGAUCACAAGUUCAACCCAACCUGGGCAACUUAACUAGACCUGUCUCAAAAUAAAAAAUAAAAAAGACUGGCGAUGUGUAACUCAGUGGUAGAGUGCCCUGGGCUCAACCCUAAGCACCACAAAAAGAGGGGGAAAUGGAUGUUUGGAAGCUUGGCCAGGUAUUUUCUUGUUUCUUUAAACCUAUUAGUCCAGAUAAACUUACUUAAUCAUGUCCCGUAUUGCAUUUUUAACCCCUCCCCAUGGUUUUAAAGAGCCAUUUUUAAAAAGUGACUGGACAUAAUGUAAUGAAUGUGUCAUUAUAAACUCUAGACUAUUUUUGAGUUUUUUGUAGUUUUUUGAAUUCUGAUAUCCUAUACUCUCUAUUGCUAUACAUACAUUCUUCAGUUAUUUAUUUUCCAUUGCUUGUUGGAAGUUUAAAAGUUGAUAUAAAAAUUAUGAAAUUUAAAUGAAGUCAGUUGUUGUAAAUAAAAAUUUGUGUGACUGUAAAUUUCACAUAAACAUUGAUAUGCAGUUCAGGAGGUCAUUUAUUUGUUGUUCCUUGUAUGAGUUUAAAAGAUAACAGGUACUUCAUGGCCUGCUAUCACUUAUGACUUUAUGGGGAAUAUUUAAAAUUGUCAGCAUGACUGCUAUACUUUGAAUCUCGAAAGUUCCCCAAAAGGCCGUGUGUUAAAGCUGUGGUCCUCAGACUUAGUGUUAUUGAGAGGUCCUCCUGGUAGAUUUUUAGGUCAUUGAAGGUGCUGUGUUUUCUUGAAGGAGAUAGUGGAACCCCAUCCACUUCCUCACUCUUGUUCACUUCCUAGCCAUGAAAUGAAUACUUUUGUUCUGCUUCCAGCUUCCAACAUGAUGUGCUGCCAUAGGCCCAAACCUCUAAAAUUAAGCUAAAACAAAACUGUUUGUAGUUGAUUAUCUCAGGUAUUUGAUUUAGCAAUGGAAAACUGACCUUUUAAUGCUUAUAUUAUGUUCUUUCAUGAUCUCAAGUACUUAAGUUACCAUUUUAAAUAGUUUAAUUCCAUAAUAGCAUAUUGAUUGGAAGAAGUAGAUCUGAUUUUGAAAACUGCUGCAUAAAAUUAUUACUAGUAUAUAAAGAGGUGUGUGUGUGUGUGUGUGUGUGUGUGUGUGUGUGUGUGUUUGGUAUUUUUCAGGUUGAAUUUUGUUAACUUUUGGGUGCCUCUGAUGAGAUUAAAUAGGUCAAAUUGAAAUAAAAGUUAAGUUCUUUGAGGAUACAUGAGGUUUUGAGGAACCACCUGUAUUCAUUAGGACUAAGAAGAGGCUUCUGAAUCCACAUAGUCUUUAUUGAUUUCAGAUUAAGAGGAGGUUUUACUGCCAUGCUGGAAUUUGGAUAUUUUGGAAAAUUGGAGAAGAUUAAAGUAGAAGCAACUCGAUCAGAUAUUUUUUCAAGAAUGUUGCUUAUGGUGUGUAGAUAAUUUAAUUUUAACUUGUAUUGUGGAGACAAUUUUAGCAAGCAGUUGAUCAUUCUAGUUUAGGAGUGAAUUGUGAAAUAACUAAACUUGGACUUUGUAGGUGGUACUUAGUCUAGGUACUUAGCAAGAGAGAAGGUGGUAAUCUUGGAAAAUAUGUGCUAAAUGUGCACAGGAGGUUAAGUCUGAGCAGUCAGGAUAUAGGAAGAAAAGACAACUUGUCAAAGGAAGAGGAACUUGUCAAAAUGUUAGAGGCAUUUUUAUUUACAUUUUUGUGUCUGUGACAGAUUUAUGAAUUCAUUAGUACACUUAUACAUUUGUCCUAAUUGUGACAUCAAUUAAGACAUGCUUUUUCUGAGUUUUGGUUGCUAUGUCUCUACUUCUAUAUGACCUUUUGUGUAAUGUUGGUAAUUAGUAGAUUGUGGUUGGUUCUAGGAAAAAAGGCAGACAUAGUUACCUAGAAUCCCCUUGAGGGGAAACAGACAAACAUAAAACAGUUACAAUUUAGCAGUGGUAGAAAUAUGUAUAGAUCUUUAGGUCUUCAACUUAGGGGAAAUAUACAAAAUGUUUCUAUUUAGUAGAAUUUAGUUGUUAUGUAUCCCUCCCAGAGCUUUAAAAUUUGCUUGCAUAUGCUGAGAAAAUGGCAUCAUAUGGUUCUUGAAAAAAGACAUAAAAGGAAAAAUUUCUUUUGCCCCUGAAGAUUCUAACAGUAUACUGAAUUUUAAAGUUCAAUUAGCUAAAAGUUAUUAGGGAUGGGAAGAGCAGAAAACAGAAGAGGUGCAUUGAUGGGGAAAGCUUAACAUUUUACUCCUUGAAAUGACCCACUUUUUCAAAUGCUGUAGUUUAGUGUUUUUAUUUUAAAAAUAUGUAAACUGAAGUCUGGAGAAGUAAAAAUGCUAACCCAGGAUUAUAUACUUAGUGAAUAAGUAGAAUUAAUGCCAGAUUAGAAAUUUAAAAAUCCCAGGUAUUUUGGGAUUCAGUCCAUGCUUUUGUUUUCUUCUUAAACAAUACCAGACUUCUUCAAAGAAAGGCCAACAAUAUGGCUUAGGACUAAGUGGGUGAGCUCGAAAGCAAAUAUAUUACUUAAAAUGCAGCCAGAAUUUAAAAUAAAGCAUAUUCUUAGAAGUAAGUAUAGACAUUUUAUAACUUUAAAAUUUUUAUUGUAAUUUAUUCUUCAGUAAUUCUUGAACCUGUGUUAUUAUGUUUACCAGGUUAAUGUCUUCUUGCUGGGCAUGGUGGUGCAUACUUGUAAUCACAGAGACUUGGAAGGUUGAGGCUGGAGGAUCUCAAGUUCAAGGCUAGCCUCAGCAACUUUAGUGAGGCCCUGAGCAACUUAGCUAGACCCCGUCUCAAAAUAAAAGAUAGGACUGGGUAUGUAGCUCAGUGGUAAAGUGCCCCCAGGUUCAAUCCCCAGUAUAAAAAAAGGAAAAAAAAAAAAAAAAAAAAAAGCUUUCCUUGAGCACAUUUACAAUUAUUUCUAAUUUGACAAAACGGCUGUUUCCUCAGAUGAAGAAACUAAAGAUUAAUUACUUAGUCCUGAGAUUUCUGAAUCAAAAAAGGUCUAUAAUUACUUUUUUUAAAGGAAAAUAUUCAGCAUCAUUAUCAGUAUUAGAAAAUUUUGUUGGCAAUAUUAAAAAAGACUUAGAAGUUAGGUGUAGCCUACCACACAACAUUAGCCAGUAUGUUGUUUUAUUUUUAAAUAUUUAAGAAAUAGAUGUUAAUGGUUUAACUGACUUGGCCUAGUUUAUACAAUAGAAUGAUCGUUUAUAUUUGUAGUCCUUGGUGCUCUUUCUCUUGGAAAAUUCUGCCUUUGCUUGGUCAUGAAAGAAAAUAUUACUAGUCUUUUAUGUCACCUUUUAAUAACAGAAGGGAUGGAUUACCUGAGAUCUAUUUUGUAACUAGGUAGAAUGUAAAUAAAAUGAUGACUAUUGGAAACCAUACUUUUCCCAGAAAACUCAAAUACUUCUUCAACUAUGAAUUAGAAUAAAAAAUACCAACAGAUAUCUAAAUGUGGAAUUUUGUUGUGUGUUUCCAUAUUGCCAUUCCAAUUUUCAAGAGAUUUUUGCUGGGCAUCAUGGCACAUGCCUGUAAUCCCAGCAGCUCAGGAUGCUGAGGCAGGAGGAUCGCCAGUUCAAAGCUAGCCUCAGCAACUCAGCGAGACCCUGUCUCUAAAUAAAAUAUAUUUAAAAAAAAAAAAGGCUGGGGCUGUAACUCAGUGGUUAAAUGCCCCUAGGUUUAGUCCCCCCAAAAAAGAGAGCUAAGAGAGGUAUGAUGUUAUGCCCACGAGAAUAUGUGCUUAAUUUGCUAUUUGGGUUACUGCUCUUUGCACUGAACAGUACAAACUUUUACUUUGAUUUUGUGAUCUGAUUAUUGGGUCUUUGAGAUUGUGAAGAUAUUAAUUUGUCUUGGAACUAGACAAAUGUCUUAAUAACUUUUAAAGCAGUGAUUCUCGUGUGUGAUGUGAGGACUCCUAGGGUUUCCCUAAAACACUUUAACGUCACCCGUGAGGUUCCCAUUUUUCUUUCUUUCUUUUUUUUUUUUUUAACUAUAAAUCUGUGUAGGACCAGAUUUUCUUCAUGUACUUCCAAACAGUGUCACAACAGAUGGAAUGCAGAAGUAUUGGUCUGCCUUCUAUUAACAGGACAUUUAAAGGUAUUUGAACAAAAUGUGAAAUAUUAUAAUUCUUGUAAAAAAUCUUUUGUUUUAUAAAAUAUAGGAUUUCCCUCAACCCCUGUAAAAAGUACAGUAUCUAGUUUAAGUGAGGUGGUCAGUCUUGGAAUUCUAUUUAUCCCUGACCUUGCGGAGGGGAUAUGACCCAGACUGGGAGGUUGAGUCAUUUUCAGUAUGGGCCAGUACAGACCCUGAGGGAGAAAAUGAUAGGUUCUUUUCUCUAGCUAUGAGAAUAACAUAGCUGUGGGUCUAUUGUUGCUUCUCUGUGGUCUAAAAAUGAAAUGCUCUAAAGGGAAAGCAAAGUAGUAUCCUGGUAUAUCAUUUGAACUCCUAGAUAAUAGCUAUGCCUAAAGCUGGUGAUGCUUUUGGAUUUUUCAUUUAUUUGUAGCAAUACUUCCUUUGAUGACUUCAAGAAAAUAAUAUUCAUGCUAAGUUGUAAUUGGUUGUUAGUUUAAAGGAAUUAAAAACUUUCUCACUUUCAUUAUUAAUAUAAUAAAUAUUGAUAGCUAUAGCCCUAAAAGCUCUUUGGAGUUCUAAUUUUUACGUAAAGGGAAUCUGAGAAAACAUUGGAGAUCCCCUCUUGUAAAGAAAGGUGGGAGGAAAUUAAGUGGAUUGUGUGAUUCUUAUGUUCAGAUCAUGUUUCAAUAUGUUUUGGUGGUAAUUUUAUUUUGUAGAAUGAACUGAGCAUAUAAUAAUUCUUAAUGAAUAACAUGUACUUUAACACUUAACCACAAUCAAUUUGUUUUGCCUUACUUGGAUUAUAUGAAACUGCACAAUAAACUACAGCAAUUAAAAAUUUCAGUGUGUGUAUCAUAUUUGUUGCUUGAAAUUUGGGUUUUUAAAAGUAAUCAUAAGUACAGAAUAAAGAAUUAUGACUGAUGCAAAUUAGGUAUUCUUCAUGAAUAUAAAAUGAAAAAUUGGUAGGAACAGAUGUGGGUGUAUAUCCGUGUUCUUCAGUUACUGAGUUAACAUAUUUAAAUUUAAUUUUUAAUUCCCACUACCACCUCCAGCUCCUUCUUUUCAAGAUUACUGAAAAUGGAAGCUGGGGUUAAAUUCUAUCAGUUAUCUUCCACUGAAUUUCUAAAGCCUCCAAGAAACUUGAGCAAAACAAACUCCUGAAAUAUUAUUGUGGAGUGUUAUAGUUUUCUUUGUUUCAUUACUGUUUUGAAAAAUCCUAAAUCAUAAACUAAAAAAUUAUAUGAUGAGUAGAUUAGGAAAAAUUGCAACCCUUAUUUCUAGGGGCACUUUGAUUCAUGUUAUUUAAACAAUAUUAAAAUCCAGUUCUUUGGGGGAGAUUUUAUUAUAGGAUUUGAUAUUCUAUAUUACUUUGACUUAUCAAAUUUAUUUAGUUUGUAUACUUCCUCAUAUAUAGCUGGAAGAAAAAUAACCCUCUUAGAUAGUCACCCCUAUGCUUAUUAAAAUUAUGCAAGAAGGUGAACCUCCAAAAUAAAAAUGGCAUUCUUAUCUGUUGUAUUCUUCACAUGGCAUAUUCAAAGAUUGAUAAAGUUUUAUUUUUAUGCCUUUAAAUCAUUAUGUGAAUGGUUUUAAGGUGAUCUGGAUGUUUAAUUUGUCAAAGUUCACUGAAGCAAUUAAUUUGAAAUCCUUGGAGAGAUGAAAGAUUCGAAAUUUAAAUGUUGGUGAAUGCUCAUUUUGCUCCAUUUCACCGGAAUCUCUUUCCUUGUAUUAUGUCAAAUAGGCUUUUGCCUCAGACUCUCUUUCUCUUGGGUUCACUGGGUCUGGACUGUUCCCAUAAAACAUCUUGUUGUACUUCAUUGCAAUCCCUGCCUAGAUUCAGAUCUCUGUUUAAAACAAUUUGUCAAGAGUCAGUCCUGGAUGAUCUCAUCUAAGAUUGUAAUUCUUCACUCAUUUCCUCCCUCCCUGCUUCCCUCUCUCCUUUCUUCUCUCUAGUUUUUCCUCCUCCUCUAUGCAUUAUCUUGCCCUGAAUUAGUUUUCUAUAGAGCACUUAUCUAUAUGACAGUACAUAUUAUUUACAUAAAUAUGUGUAUGUAUAUGUGUGUCCUCUCAACCCCAAUAUAAAUUCUGUGGGGACAGGUACUUUAUUCUUUUCAAAGUUAUAUCCUCAGUAUCUAGAAUAAUGUCUGCCAUACUGAGUGUAUAUUAAGUAUUUGAGUAUUGAAUGCAAUAUUGGAAGAUAACCACCAAGCCAAACAUAAUAAGUUAUUUUAUUUUAUUCAAACUUUGUGAAGAUGAAAAUGAUCCAUGAUAGGCCCAGAUUCUAAGAGUUAAGAAAAUUAGUUUUUCAAUUUUCAUUUUUUCAGUAAAACGUUUUUUAUGGUAUGUGAUUUAUAGUGUAAUUUUUUAAAGAUUUUUUAUUUUUCACAUACAUAUAGCUAGGUAGAUUGGUAAUGAGAAGGGAUAUUUCAUAUGUUUGCAUGAUAUCUUGUGAACAAAAUUAAAUCUAAUGAUUAUGCUCUUUCAGGUUUGUGGGGCAUUUGCUAUCUAGUCCAGUGCUUAUCUGCCAAGGAUUUUUCAGUCUAUACUUGAAAUCAUUCUAAUAAUGAAGAAUUCUCUUUCAGGUAGUUUAUUGUACUUUUAGGCAGUUUAUUUUGCUUUGGGGGGGCCUUUUUUUUUUUUUUAAAGUCCAUCUAUUUUUAAGACAAAAAUCUGUUGUUUUUAUUUACUCUUUGUAAUUAUAUCCCAUGGAGGACAUUUGAAUAAAUGUAAUUCUUCUUCCUUGUGAUAGCUAGGAUAUUAUUUGCAGGAUUACUGAGUUCUCUCUGACAUUUCUAUUCUCUAGGCUGAGAAUCCCUCAUAAGCCAUCUAAUAAUGACAUCUAUUUACCAUCUUGAGCAUUUUCUAAGAAUCUGUUUUUUAAAAAAAUAUAAAAGGUGGUACCUAGAACUUCAAGCCAUAGCACUCUUCUACAUGGGAGAGCCGCACUAUUCUCUCUCUCUGUUUUAUUGCAUCAUUAUGAUUUAUGUUUCCCCCUUACCGUUUCACACUUUAAUCUUAUUUUAAUAUAUUUUUCACUAAAUAGUUAAGGUAUUCCCCCUUUGCCUGCUUUCUACCAAUGUGGUUGGUAAGUAAGGUGUCCUGCCUUGCAUAUUUUGUAGUUUCUGAUUUUCUUUUUUUAAAUUUUUGUUUUCUUUACUCUUCUUCUCCCACCUGUAUCCCCAACAGGUGAUGAGAGUUAAAGCAGUUUGGUCAGAAUCAUUCUUUAAUGGGAGAUUUUAUGAUUGUUUGCAGGGGUGGUUAAAAAGUACACAGGGAAAAUAGAACCGGUUUCCUAAAUAGGAAGGAAGUAUGUCACAUUUUCAAAAAUUGAUUUUCCCUGCCCUCUUUCUUAUGGUUUGUAAGAAGAUUUUAGUCCCACUUUCAGUGGAGGAAAUAAUUUAGCUCUGAGACAUUUUGUGUCAUUCACAUCACAAACCUGUUAGUAGCAGUGGCAACUAGUAUAGCAAAAUAUCUCCUUAACAGUCUUGCUUGCCAUGGAGACUAUUUCUUUUAAUAACCCCUUACUGUCUGAGUAUGAUUUUCUUUUGAUAGGUAAAUUUAAAUGCUUUUCAUAGCAGAUUAUCAUUACUAGACGUUCAGAUAAUGUAGUAUUGGUUCUUUUAAUUAAGACAAAAGUAGGACAUCUUUAGCCUUUCUAUUCCUAAUCAAAACAUUUUGGUAUAUCAUUAAAAUUUUUAUGGUUCAGUUUAUUUUCUGCUCAAAUCUGCCAAGUACAUACCUUUUCUUUGUUUUCAGAAUACAGAAAUAAUGAUGGAAUGACAUCUAUAACUUGAAAAAAAUCGCCUCCCAAGUGCAAGUUGUUUUGGUUUUAGAUAUGAAAUUAUAAACAUUGAUUCUAGUUUAUAUUUUGAAUUCUUAACAAAUUUUAAAAAGUAGUUAGCCAGCUGGGCAUGGUGGCAGUUAGAGGUUGGGAUUUCACCAAGCCCAUGAGUUAGAAGGAUGGUAAAAGGAAAGAUAUAGGAGAUUGAGAAAUUGGUUAGAGACUGUUUUAAAUAUUUGAAAAUUAAACUGAAAAGUGGAGAAUAAAAGGAGGAGGUAGGUGUCCUUCAAUAGAUGAAUUGUUAAAUAAAAUGUGGUACAUAUACACAAUAGAAUACUACUCACCCAUAAAGAAAAAUGAAAUUAUGGCAUUUGCCGUUGAAUGGGUGGAAAUGGAAAAUAUCAUGCUAACUGAAAUAAACCAACUAGAUGUGAAAAAUGGAGGUCUGGUUUCUGGGCAACUUUUUGUAAGAAGCAGUCUAGUGUAGUGGUUGUAAGUGUAGACUUCGGACAGUGAAAUUUAGGGUUAAAUCUUGAACAUGAUUCACUCAUCAGAAACUUUCCUUCCUGUCUUUUCUGCUCUUGGAUCUCACCAUCACUCCCCUGACACAAAUAACCAUAGUUAUUAGUUUUUUUUUUUUUUUUAAUCCUUCUGUCCUUUGAAUCAUAUAAAUUAUUCAAAGGUAAACAAUCUGAAUACUUGAUUUCUCCUCCUCCCCAACAAAUGGUAACAAACUGUAUAAAGUUCUUCUCUACCCUUUUAACAAACUGAUUUCUCUAUUAUGUGUAUCAUUUCUUGUAUGAAUAAUAGAAUUUAUGAUAUGUAAGGUGUUUUAACAUAAGGAUAUCAUAUUUCUUCAGUGCCUUGUAUGAGGCAGUAUUUUUACACAUAUUAAUUUACAACUGUAAUAUCUUAUAAGUCAGUUUGUACCUAAAAUUUAUAGGAUGUGCUGUUAUUUAUAGCUAAAUUUUCUUCAUUCUUUUUUUUUAGAAUUUUUUUUUCUUAGUUGUAGAUGGACACAGUACCUUUAUUUUUUUCAUGUGGUGCUGAGGAUUGAACCCAGUGACUCACACAUGCUAGAUGAGCACUCUACCACUCAGACACAACCCCAGACCCUCAACAUUCCUUUUUUUUUUUUUUUUUUUUUUAGCUGUGAUGCAGAUCCAUCAGCCCUAGCAAAAUAUGUUCUGGCUUUGGUAAAGAAAGACAAAAGUGAAAAAGAGUUAAAGGCAUUAUGUAUUGAUCAGCUGGAUGUAUUUCUUCAAAAAGGUAAGAUC
This 23691-nucleotide long non-coding RNA is filed under the name Marmota monax (woodchuck). The record is from RNAcentral. Lineage: Eukaryota; Metazoa; Chordata; Mammalia; Rodentia; Sciuridae.